GUGUGUGUGCGUGUGUGUGUGUGUGUGUGCGUGCGCGUGCGUGCGUGCGUGCGUGCAUGACAGAUUAUGUGUGUGUGUGUGCGUUCGCGCGUGUGUGUGUAUGCGUGUUUGCGUGAGUGGGCAUAUGUGUGUAUUUGCAUGGAGGGAAAACGAGUCACUGCCGCUCGUGCGACUAACACAGAAUAAAUAACAAGAAAAAAAGAGACACGCAACGAUGGAGAAUCGAGAGUAUAAUAUAUUGCGCGAUAUCUUUUUAGGCAAACACAAGAGUUGCCAUCGAUUAACGUUAUGAGUACUACUGUUCAUUUCCUAGCUUUCUGCGAACGCACAUCUGUUUGGUUUUGCUAAGCUUCUUGUACUAAUUUUUCAAUCUCAGACAUUCAGAGUACGCGCGUGCGCGUUUCGCUUGUCACGUGUGUGUGUUGAAUAAGAAUCUUUGAACGGGAAAUGGACUGUAGUGUGGAUCACGUUACAAUUGAAUUUGAUCGUUCAGAAUUUAUGAAUAAAUAGUUGUUAUAUUAACGAUUAUAUCAGGACGAAGUAGAAAGGGGAAAAAGCGUGUGAUUUGUCGCGAAGGAAAGAGAAAACAAAGAAAAAGAUCUAUCGUGUCUACAUAGGCAGUACGUAUGUCUCUUUUCGAUUUAAUCGACAAAAAAUAUAUCUUGAAUCAAGUCGCUGUAUUUUCGACGAACACUCGUCGAACAGAAGUCGCAGAUGAUAUGAAUGUAGAUAAAAUAUUGCUGAACGCCUCUUGCGACUCCAUUAUCGCUUUCUCGACGGUAAAAGAGUGCGAUUUAUUGACUGUGGUUAAGUCGAAUGAAACAUAAGAGGAAAAGAAACCAAGAAUAAGAAUGAGAAAAUAUUCGUAUAUUAUCACAAAUAUUUGAAUAUUUAUAUAUUACUGUCUGCAUUGCGACAUCGUACACUCGUUUAAAAAAUGAAUGACAUCUUUAUUAAAAGUAAUGAGAUUAUAUAUAUAUAUAUAUAUAUAUAUAUAUAUAUAUAUAUAUAUAUAUAUAUAUAUAUAUAUAUAGAGCAUAGGUGAGGGAGAGAGAAGAAAAAGGGAUGGUAGCCCGAGAGAAUAUGAAACCAUAUAUUAAUACAUAUUAAUAUGUAUAUUAUACAAAGUUAAUUAUACGUUUUGUUUCAUCGAUUCAUAUAAAAGGGGUGACGUGAUCAUAUAUAUAUAUAUAUAUAUAAAAGAAAAGACGCGAAAAAAAACGCGCUUUUACAAAAUGCAAGAAAUACAUACACACACACAUAUACAUACAUGGAUUUAUGCACGCAAAAAUAUGCAAUAUACAUUUCGAAAAGAAAAAAAAACACCAAACACGCGAUUUCGAUACUUUUCACACCAAAUUCUCACAGAAUGAAUAACGACACGCGCACGACAUAUAUUUCAUCGUAAAAAAACAUAUUCCACCGCAAGAAACACGGUACAAGAGACGGUGUAUGUAAUUAAGUUACAUAAGUUUGAACGAUGAUCGAGUUCUAACACAAUUGCAUAUUAGGUAUGUAUUAUACGAAUGCAUAAUAGGUAUUUAUAUAGAAUCUAUAUAACUGUAUAAUUGUAACGAAAUGCCAAUGUCCGCGGACCCAGGCAACUGCACAAAUCCGGUGACGUACAAUCAAUCGAAUUGAAAAUCGUUGUUGGGCGUUGCAGUUGCUUAGGCCCCUCUUGCCGGACACAGGAAGAAAGAUGAGACAAAACGAAUGGCACAGAAAGGAAUAAAAAUAAUAUUUCAAGACGGGCGACACGAAAGAGAGAGAGAGAAAGAGAAGGAGGAGAAUAACACACAAUUGUGUUAUCUCUCUGAGGAAAAAGAAAUCUAAAUACGCUUCGAUUUUGCAACGCUGUGCUAAUAUCAACACAAUGAUAAAUAUCUAUCCGUUCUCUUUUGUGUUUCUUCCGUGAUUGAAACGGCAAACCGAUAUAAAUCUAUAUUUCGCACUGGUGCGAAUAUGAAACGAAUGAGAAACCCAUAUAGAGAAAAAAAGACACGUAGAUGCGUUAUUAAAAAAUGCUAUUUAAUUGGGGAGCGUCCGAUUGAGUGCGUGAUCGACGCGUUUGCAUUUUUGAUGAGAUAUAAAAUGAGUAUAAUUUUAUUUAUUUUCUAGCGACAAACUCAUUGCUAACGUAUUUCUAUAAUAAAAUAAUUAUUCUUCAGUUGCAUUUUCUUUGAAAAUUUACAAUUUCGGCUGGUCUGAAUUUACUUAGCAUGUAGAUCGUUUCGACGAAUAUAAAUAUGAAAUAUAAAUCACAAUAAUAAAUUCAAGUACGCACGAGUGGGUGAAAUAUAUUGAGACAAGUAUCCCGAUCCUCUUCGAUUUUAAAGUGUAAUUUUCUCCAAAAGUUAUCUUUCUCACAUUCUUUCUGACAUUCUUUAAACGCGCGUUAAACAAUUGUUGCGCGAUAUCGAUAUAUAAUUUGUAUUAACUAAUUAUUGAAAAUUAAAAUUAACGAGAAGGAUGAACAAAAUCUAUUUCAACAGAUUGUUGACGAGCUUUUAUAUGACGCACUUUUUUACAUGUUUCUAACUUUAUCACCGGAAAAUUUUUUUGUUGAGUUCAAGGAAGAGGGGAGAGAGGUCAGAAAAAACUUGCGAACUGUGCAACAAGCAUUGUAUAUUGUUCGGAUAGAGCGUUGUAAACGGAAACUGCAAGGAAGAGACAUAGAAAAAAAUCGUUCACUGGCGCAGAUGGUAUGACAUUGUGAUCUAUGCAAAUUACAAAUCACAAAGCAACCACAAGUAGUAGAUAUUUAAGAUAAAUACACGUAAAAAAAAAAAACACGUACGUCUAUGGAGACUAGAGAAAAAGGGGAGGAAACAUUGUGUUACUGAAAUGUAUGCGCGAUAGCGUGCAUUUUAACACGUUAUUAAAAAGCGAGGACGACUACAAACGUACCUAACUAAAAAAACACAGAGAGAGCGGGAGAAAGAGAGAAACACAUAUAAAGAAAACAAAAAUAAUGAAGUGAAGAGAUACCGUCUGACACACGUAAGAAUAAGCAAAGUAAUAUAAAAAUGAAAGAAAAAAAAAAACAUGACGCUCCUGCCACGCAGCGAGUCUUUAGACAGCUUUAAGAUAAUUAUAAAUGAUAAAAAUAAUAAUUAUUAAAUAAUAACGAUAAACUUUCUAUAUGUUGAAUCGUGUCUAGUGAGAGAAGUACUAUCGAAGUAAAAAAAGCAACACAAAAAAAAAAAAUAAUAAUACUAUCGCCACACACAUGAAUUAAUGCAGUUUAUAUGACCAUUGAUUAGUUGUCUCUAUCUCGCGCGCGAAUGUUUUUUUCUGUUUUUCAUAAUAUAUAUAAUAUAGCGAGGAGAGAAAAGGGGUGGCUGUUAGAGAAAUAGCUUUUGGUGUUUCGUUUGAUGUUUUAUGAACAAACGUUGCGCGGUUGGUUGAAUGGCGGAUCUUUUUGCUAAAUGUUAUAAUAUCCACAAAAGGGUCCCGGAGUUCCAUAUACCUGUGUUUUUAUAUAUUCGGUGGAGUUGAACACCGAAGCUACUGUUAUCCAUUGUCACGCGCUAAUUCUUAUCACGUAGGAUUUUCAUAUGUGUACGUGGAUCGCGAGCGACAAUUGCGUGUAACGAUAUGAUAUCGGCGUUUGCAUUGUAAAAAAAAAAAUAAUAAAAAAAACGCAUUCAUUUCCAAACAGCUCACGUCUUUCAUAGCGAGACGAGUCGUCGCGAUCGCGACGUAAUCUCUCUCGCUUGCACGAAAUUGUGGCUCAUAAAAAGAAGCAAAGCUUUAUCAAGCUAAGUUCACCUAGUAUGAAAAUCCUGUCGUUGCUGCGAAUAUUUUUAUUAUUAUUAUUAUUAUUAUUAUUAUUAUUAUUAUUAUUAUUAUUAUAGUGUCAUUAUUCUUACUAUUACGAUUAUUCUUUUUAUUACCGCUAUGAUUAACUAUUAGUAUCUAUUAUAUUAUCGAAGAGAGCUGUUGUGUACUGAGAUUGCUAAUAACGAAACCAGUCUCGAGCAGACUGAUUUCUUUCGUUUUCUUUUUAGCAUAUAUCACACGACAACGAUCAGUCGAGUUUUUAAAUUUAAUGGCUUUCCCGUUCUCCAUCCUUUUAUUCCUCUCAUCAUAAUCAAUCUCGAUCUCAGUCAAAUCCUUCCUCUCUUUCUUCGCAUCUACAUAUGUAAGCACAUUUUCUUUUCAAAUUCGUUUCCGCUUUUCCUAAUCAGUUCUGAUAUAGAAUGCGUUCUGAUAUAGAAUGGUUUCCCAAAAGAGAUAUAGAGAAGCGAGGUGAGAUAACAGAUGCAGAGUCAAAAAGGGAGAGGUAGAGAAAUUUGACGGGAGGUCGAUUGAUGCCCUCAAAAGCUGAAUCGACAGUGUUAAAUUAAACAUUACCUAGAUUCGCGAUCUAGCGGGUCAAGCAAGAGUAAAUCAUCCUUCGAUGCGUUGCAGUUUCCCCCUUUUUUUUUUUCCUCCUGGCGCGCUCUCGCGUGUGUGCAUGCGUGCGUGAAUGCUAAUUUGUGUGCGUGUAUAGGCUCGACAAUCGAAGCGAGCAAGCGAGCGAAUUCUUUGUAAGGCGAGAGAAGAAAUUGAGAUGAGAAAAUUGCCGAUUGCGAGGACGAUGCGCCGUCGAAUUACGUUAAACACCACGAUUUUUGGAGGGAGUUAUAUAUGCAGGAAUUAUACAUGUCCUUGAACUAUUACAUUAUAUCAAUAGCGUAACAAAAAUCAAAGUUUGUUGUUGCAGAAAACAGUGAGAAUUACUGCGAUUGGCCUUUGUAUGUCAUUUGAUUUAUUAAAGAUAACAGUCUGUUGCAACUUUCAACGUUUUUCAUCUUCCCACAUGCACAUAGUGCAAGUAUCCUUCUCUCGCAUCAAUUCUCUCGUAGCAAUUAACAAUAGUAAUUAAUUUAUACAUUAUGUUAAAAAUUAUCUUUUAAGAGUAUUUCAACAUAUCAGAGAUAUUUUGCUUUUAAGAUAUGCGCGGGACAUUUUUGUAUAUCGCCAACGAAGAUGAUCUGUAUUUCGAAUGAAAUCUUUUUUUCCGCUAAACACAAAAACGCUUGGACAACGCGACGUGAUAUAUUUUCGUGGUGCAUCGUCCUUCAUGUAAGAUAGGCGUUGUGUAAGUAGAUGCGACGCUAAAAAAAACGUUUAACGCAGCGCGCAACUCUCAAAAGUUACUCGUUUCUCUCUCGAAGAAAAUCGAUAUAUCAGCAUAAUAUUAAUUGUUAUAUAAAUAUUUAUCGCGCGAGUCGAGUUUUCGAAAUGUUACAUGCUCGAGGAUGGUUUGUCGGACACAAAUUCGUACCAAUUGUUUCUUCGGAUAAACGUUUUUCCGCCACAUAGUUUGUAAUAUACUUCAAUAUUAACUAUUAAAGAAUAAACACACACACGAAAAAAAAAAAAAAAGGAGAAACGUCGGGGGCGAAAGAUCGAUUCACUGGCACGAUAACCGGGGAUAGGCACGAGGAGAAUUUCGCGCACUUUAAAUAAUACCCAAGGACCUGAGAGUUCAAGGAACCCCUUCUCCCCAAGUGCAUUCGAGGAACAAGAUCGCGCGUUGCUCGCGAAAUUUUGGGACCCGUAGAUAUCAGAAUAUGUUACAAAGGAUCCCGCAAUUCGAUCAGAUCGCACGUACAGAUAACGCGGAUUCUAGAAUUCAAGAUUUUUAAAAAUUCCAAGAUCUGAAGAGUUUGACAAUUCGCGGACUCUCGAAGAUUCAAUUUAUUUAAGGAGUCCGAAUGGUCCAAUGUAUCCGAGAUCCAUGGGAUUCCGAUUCGGAAAGUGCACGUCUCUGGGAUCUUCAGUCACGACCUUUCGCCCAUUGCUGCAGGAUAAAAAUCAUAGCUACUAAAGACAAAUCGUCUCUAACGCGCGUACUACAUGCGUGUAACGCGGAUGAUCGUGUAAUAUAUGUAUUGUAAGGUGGUUAGCAGAAAGGCGCUUAAAUAUCAGGAUAAGCAGUAGGAGGAUAACCGAAUCAGAAAAGAAUGAAAAAGAAAAAAAAAGUUACCGCGCAGAAGAAUUGCUGUUCAUCUAUUCGACAUUGCGUUUUCGACAUAAAAAAAAAUACGUGACAGAUAAGUGAAAGAUAAAAAGAAAAACAAAAAAUAGAAAUACACAGUACUCUACGGCUCACACGUUCGAAUGAAAAGAAAACUAAAAAAAAAAAAGAUUCAUCGCAUCGAUGUUGAAUGUAACACGUUUUACAAGGUAACAGAGCAUUUCAUUUUAUAA
This is a long non-coding RNA of Cataglyphis hispanica, 6201 nucleotides long. RefSeq lists it as uncharacterized. The transcript is spliced from 2 exons. The record is from RefSeq and is a predicted model, not a curated record. NCBI's taxonomy places the organism in Eukaryota, Metazoa, Arthropoda, Insecta, Hymenoptera, Formicidae.